GACGAACGCUGGCGGCGUGCUUAACACAUGCAAGUCGAGCGGACGGGCCCGAAUUUUGUGGCGUGCUCGAUAGGCGCACGGGUGAGUAACACGUGAGUAACCUGCACUUGACUUUGGGGUAACUUCUGGAAACUGGGGCUAUUACCGGGUAGGAUCUUCUGCUGCAUGUUGGUGGAUGGAGAGAUUCGGCGGUUGGGGAUGGUCUCGAGGCUUAUCAGCUUCUUGGUGGGGUAGUUGCUUACCAAGGCUGUGACGGGUAGCCGGCCUGAGAGGGUGAACGGGCACAUUGCGACUGAGAUACGGAGCAGACUCCUACGGGAGGCAGCAGUGGGGAACAUGGCACAAUGGGCGGAAGUCUGAUGCAGCAACGCCGCGUGCGGGAUGACGGCCUUUGGGUGGUAAACCGCUGUCGCAUGUGACGAAGCGUGAGUGACGGUAAUGGGUAAAGAAGCAACGGCUAACUACGUG
This 468-nucleotide ribosomal RNA is filed under the name uncultured bacterium. RNAcentral describes it as "partial 16S ribosomal RNA". It matches the Rfam family "Bacterial small subunit ribosomal RNA", at positions 28 to 507 of the family's 1533-position model. The record is from RNAcentral.